GCACCUAUAGCGCAGCGGUAGUCGCGUUUCCUUGACAUGGAAAAGGUCCCAGGUUCGAUCCCUGGUGGGUGCACCA
RNAcentral lists this transfer RNA (76 nucleotides) under Oxalobacteraceae bacterium. RNAcentral describes it as "tRNA-Val". It matches the Rfam family "tRNA". From Rfam's summary of the family: Transfer RNA (tRNA) molecules are approximately 80 nucleotides in length. Their secondary structure includes four short double-helical elements and three loops (D, anti-codon, and T loops). Further hydrogen bonds mediate the characteristic L-shaped molecular structure. tRNAs have two regions of fundamental functional importance: the anti-codon, which is responsible for specific mRNA codon recognition, and the 3' end, to which the tRNAs corresponding amino acid is attached (by aminoacyl-tRNA synthetases). tRNAs cope with the degeneracy of the genetic code in two manners: having more than one tRNA (with a specific anti-codon) for a particular amino acid; and 'wobble' base-pairing, i.e. permitting non-standard base-pairing at the 3rd anti-codon position. The record is from RNAcentral. Lineage: Bacteria; Pseudomonadati; Pseudomonadota; Betaproteobacteria; Burkholderiales; Oxalobacteraceae.